UAUUAUUUAAAAUGUAAUUGUAAAUAUUUAAGUAGUAAUAGUUAUGUUCUUGAAACUUAAAAAAUUUGGCGGUAUUUUAGUCUAUCCAGAGGAACCUGUUUUGUAAUCGAUAAUCCACGAUGGACCUUACUUAAAUUUGUAAUCAAUUUAUAUACCGUCGUUAUCAGAAUAUUUUAUAAGAAUAAUAAUAUUCAAUAAUUUUUAUUAAAAUUUAUAUCAGAUCAAGGUGUAGUUUAUGUUUAAGUAAUAAUGGGUUACAAUAAAUAUAUUUAUACGGAUAAAAUUAUGAAAAAAUUUUUGAAGGUGGAUUUGGUAGUAAAAUUAUAAAGAUAAAUAAUUUGAUUUUAGCUCUAAAAUAUGUACACAUCGCCCGUCGCUCUUAUUAUUAAGGUAAGAUAAGUCGUAACAUAGUAGAUGUACUGGAAAGUGUAUCUAGAAUGA
RNAcentral lists this ribosomal RNA (441 nucleotides) under Drosophila pectinitarsus. RNAcentral describes it as "partial 12S ribosomal RNA". The record is from RNAcentral. Lineage: Eukaryota; Metazoa; Arthropoda; Insecta; Diptera; Drosophilidae.